This is a non-coding RNA of Petromyzon marinus (sea lamprey), 1234 nucleotides long. The record is from RefSeq and is a predicted model, not a curated record. NCBI's taxonomy places the organism in Eukaryota, Metazoa, Chordata, Hyperoartia, Petromyzontiformes, Petromyzontidae.
AUCGCAGGACGCUGAGCGCUGCGCCUCCGUCUCCCAUGACGUAAUACGUGUGUACAAAAGUCACCUGACACAGCAACACAAUUACACACCGAAGUGUCAAGCAAGCAGGCGAGCUGACAAGUUAAAUAGAUUCAGCCCUAAGAUGUCUGCUGUAAGGGAUUAAUUUAAAAGACGGCGAGGUCAGCGGGAGCGAUACCGAUUGAAAUACCACCACGUCGAAACCGUCGCGCGGCCCAGGCUGCCCGCCUCUCUCUGUGCCUCUGCCUGAAACACGGCGCCUUCGCUCUGCCCAAGCGGCGGCUGCUGCUGCUGCUGCUCCGCUUCAUCACCACAACAACAACGACGACGACGUUGCGUGCCGGGAAGAAGUCGCCCGCAGAGCUCCGACAAUGGCUCACGCCGGCCCCGACGUUUCCAGCCAGGUCCGGCCGAGGACAACAAUGGGCUGGGUGCGUGGAUUGGAUCCGUUGCUAAUGAGGCGCUGUCUCUCCGUCCGCCGUGCUGGCGGCCUGCUGCUGAUCAAGGCCUGAACCACUGCCAGCCGGGUCAAUUGCCCGUGGCCUCUGCAAGAUCGUCCCGCAGCAAUGGCUAAUGCAAAGACAUUUGUCAAUCCACUGCUGGAUGACGGUUUACCCCACGCCAUGUCCGUCACGGGGUUGUUUGAAGAGACUUCACCAAGCAGUGAAAGGUGCUGACACAGGCACCCGCGGUGGACGUCACACUUGUAAGAGCAACCAUAGCCACCCUUUUCCUCCCAGCGGCCUCGCGGGCACAGCCGUCACACGCCAGCUCUCACGAUCGCGUGGGAUCAUCGUCGUUGUUGUUAUUAUUAUUAUGGGAUCGCAUUGUGCCGUAUGGGUAUAGACACGCGUGACGAGUACCUCCAUUCACAAUGCUCCACCGAUUCUCCACUGAUGUGCAUCGUCAAAAUCCACCUGCUUGACGCGCGGCCCCAUCGGUCAAUGCUGCCCACAGAGAAGGAGCACUGAUCACUCAACGUCAUUGUGGAGAACGUCCAGGUGACGAGACGUAGCGCAGAGUUACGCCUCCUUCCCUUGUUGCUCUCUCCACACAAACAAUCAAAGUAUUUGCUUACACAUCCCAUCGGUCACGUGGCCUACGUUUGUUCAGCAGCGUUGGCUUAUUUAACAGAUAACACGAGCGUCGUUCGCAUGAUUUUCCACGAUUUCUCCACAAAUGAUCUCCCUCUGCCCGGCAGUGCAUCAACAAGAAC